Molecule: ribosomal RNA, 868 nt
Filed under: uncultured archaeon
Lineage: Archaea
Description: bacterial SSU rRNA
Rfam family: Archaeal small subunit ribosomal RNA
Source: RNAcentral
CUCCGGUUGAUCCUGCCGGACCCGACUGCUAUCAGAGUGAGAUUAAGCCAUGCGAGUUAACGUAGCAAUACGUGGCGCACGGCUCAGUAACACGUAGUCAACAUGCCCAGAGGACGUGGAUAACCUCGGGAAACUGAGUCUAAACCGCGAUAAGUGAGGAUUUCUGGAAUGGUUCCUGACUAAAAUCUAUAUGGCCUCUGGAUUGGACUGCGGCCGAUCAGGCUGUUGGUGAGGUAAUGGCCCACCAAACCUGUAACCGGUACGGGCUCUGAGAGGAGGAGCCCGGAGAUGGGCACUGAGACAAGGGCCCAGGCCCUAUGGGGCGCAGCAGGCGCGAAACCUCUGCAAUAGGCGAAAGCCUGACAGGGUUACUCUGAGUGACUUUCGCUAAGAAAGUCUUUUGGCACCUCUAAAAAGGGUGCAGAAUAAGGGGUGGGCAAGUCUGGUGUCAGCCGCCGCGGUAAUACCAGCACCCCGAGUGGUCGGGACGAUUAUUGGGCCUAAAGCAUCCGUAGCCGGUUCUGCAAGUCCCCCGUUAAAUCCAGCUGCUCAACAGAUGGGCCGCGGAGGAUACUACAGAGCUAGGAGGCAGGAGAGGCAAGCGGUACUCAGUGGGUAGGGGUAAAAUCCGUUGAUCCAUUGAAGACCACCAGUGGCGAAGGCGGCUUGCCAGAACGCGCUCGACGGUGAGGGAUGAAAGCUGGGGGAGCAAACCGGAUUAGAUACCCGGGUAGUCCCAGCUGUAAACGAUGCAGACUCGGUGAUGAGUUGGCUUAUUGCUAACUCAGUGCCGCAGGGAAGCCGUUAAGUUUGCCGCCUGGGGAGUACGGUCGCAAGACUGAAACUAAAGCUUCGAGGGGGGGGAGCA